RNAcentral lists this ribosomal RNA (367 nucleotides) under uncultured bacterium. RNAcentral's name for it is "bacterial SSU rRNA". It matches the Rfam family "Bacterial small subunit ribosomal RNA", at positions 29 to 429 of the family's 1533-position model. The record is from RNAcentral.
AACGAACGCUGGCGGCAGGCUUAACACAUGCAAGUCGAGCGCGUAGCAAUACGAGCGGCAGACGGGUGAGUAACGCGUGGGAAUCUACCCAACCCUACGGGAAUAACGCAUGGAAACGUGUGCUAAUACCGUAUACGCCCUUCGGGGAAGAUUAUCGGGAGUGGAGUGAGCCCGCGUUGGAUUAGCUAGUUGGUGGGGUAAAGGCCUACCAAGGCGACGAUCCAUAGCUGGUCUGAGAGGAUGAUCAGCCACAUUGGGACUGAGACACGGCCCAAACUCCUACGGGAGGCAGCAGUGGGGAAUAUUGGACAAUGGGCGCAAGCCUGAUCCAGCCAUGCCGCGUGAGUGAUGAAGGCCUCGGUGUAAG